This 73-nucleotide transfer RNA is filed under the name Acetobacteraceae bacterium. RNAcentral describes it as "tRNA-Leu". It matches the Rfam family "tRNA". From Rfam's summary of the family: Transfer RNA (tRNA) molecules are approximately 80 nucleotides in length. Their secondary structure includes four short double-helical elements and three loops (D, anti-codon, and T loops). The record is from RNAcentral. Lineage: Bacteria; Pseudomonadati; Pseudomonadota; Alphaproteobacteria; Acetobacterales; Acetobacteraceae.
GGAGGCGGGCGGAAAGUUGGCAACGGCACUCAUAAUGCCGGGGUCGGCGGUUCAAGUCCGCCCGCCGCUACCA